AGGGCACCACCAGGAGUGGAGCCUGCGGCUUAAUUUGACUCAACACGGGAAAACUCACCCGGCCCGGACACCGUAAGGAUUGACGGACUGAGAGCUCUUUCUUAAUUCGGUGGGUGGUGGUGCAUGGCCGUUCUUAGUUGGUGGAGCGAUUUGUCUGGUUAAUUCCGAUAACGAACGAGACUCUGGCCUAUUAAAUAGACGGUAUAUCUAGAAAAAGUAUACCGCGCUUCUUAGAGGGACAACCGGCGUCUAGCCGCGUGAAAUAGAGCAAUAACAGGUCUGUGAUGCCCUUAGAUGUCCGGGGCUGCACGCGCGCUGCACUGAAAGAAUCAGUAUGCGCCGUCGCCUAGUUCGGAAGAACCGGGUAACCCGAGCAAAUUCUUUCGUGCUUGGGAUAGGGAAUUGCAAUUAUUUCCCUUAAACGAGGAAUUCCCAGUAAAUGCGGGUCAUAAGCUCGCGUUGAUUACGUCCCUGCCCUUUGUACACACCGCCCGUCGCUACUACCGAUUGGAUGACUUA
Molecule: ribosomal RNA, 519 nt
Filed under: uncultured eukaryote
Lineage: Eukaryota
Description: SSU rRNA
Rfam family: Eukaryotic small subunit ribosomal RNA
Source: RNAcentral